This is a non-coding RNA of Tenericutes bacterium GWD2_38_27, 126 nucleotides long. NCBI's taxonomy places the organism in Bacteria, Bacillati, Mycoplasmatota. The record is from Rfam.
UUAAAAGAACUGAAUCUGCCAAAGACAGUGGGUGCACUUGCUUAAUUUCCCACCGAGGUGAAACAUAAUCUAACGAUUACUAUCUCUCUUUUGUCUUUCGGCACAGAGAGAUUUUAUUUUUCAGAA